CGGGGGGAGCAAGCGUUGUUCGGAUUUACUGGGCGUAAAGGGCGCGUAGGCGGCCACCGCAAGUCGACUGUGAAAUCUCCGGGCUUAACCCGGUAAGGUCAGCCGAUACUGCGGGGCUAGAGUGCAGAAGGGGCAACUGGAAUUCUCGGUGUAGCGGUGAAAUGCGUAGAUAUCGAGAGGAACACCUGCGGCGAAGGCGGGUUGCUGGGCUGACACUGACGCUGAGGCGCGAAAGAUAGGGGAGCGAACGGGAUUAGAUACCCCGGUAGUCCUAGCCUUAAACGAUGAAUGCUUGGUGUCUGGGGUUUUAUAGUCCCCGGGUGCCGUCGCUAACGCUUUAAGCAUUCCGCCUGGGGAGUACGGUCGCAAGACUG
This 374-nucleotide ribosomal RNA is filed under the name uncultured organism. Its description in RNAcentral is "bacterial SSU rRNA". It matches the Rfam family "Bacterial small subunit ribosomal RNA", at positions 526 to 896 of the family's 1533-position model. The record is from RNAcentral.